AUGCAGCGGCGUGCUCUGACGGCGUGUACUCUGGGUCUGGGGACGCGGGGCGCGGCGAAGGCGUCGCCGGGGAAGCGAACCGAGCAGCAGGGUCCGACCAAGUGUAAUCCGGCGACGGCGGAGGGCACGAGGGAGGGUGAUCGGGCGACGGCGGAGGGCCCGAGGCAGCGUAAUCCGGCGACGGCGGAGGGCCCGGCGAAGUGUAAUCCGGCGACGGCGGAGGGCACGAGGGAGUGCAGUCGGGCGACGGCGGAGGGCCCGACGCAGCGUAAUCCGGCGACGGCGGAGGGGCCGACGGAGUGUGAUCCUGCGAUGUGCACUCCUCGUGGUGCCCGCCAUACGGCCGGCUGCAGCGCUCGUCGCCCACGCCGAAGCCCGGGAAGAAGGGGCCUCCUCCCGGCAUGA
This 405-nucleotide ribosomal RNA is filed under the name Triticum aestivum (bread wheat). RNAcentral's name for it is "partial small subunit ribosomal RNA". The record is from RNAcentral. Lineage: Eukaryota; Viridiplantae; Streptophyta; Magnoliopsida; Poales; Poaceae.